AACACAUGCAAGUCGAGGGGGCUGCCCUACCGGCAAACGGGUGCGGAACACGUACACAACCUACCCUUGUCUUGGGGAUAGCCUCCUGAAAAGGAGAUUAAUACCCAAUAGUAUACUGGAGUGGCAUCACUUUGGUAUUAAAGAAUUUCGGACAGGGAUGGGUGUGCGUAAGAUUAGGUAGUUGGUGGGGUAACGGCCCACCAAGCCCACGAUCUUUAGCUGAUGUGAGAGCAUGAUCAGCCACACGGGCACUGAGACACGGGCCCGACUCCUACGGGAGGCAGCAGUGAGGAAUAUUGGUCAAUGGACGCAAGUCUGAACCAGCCAUGCCGCGUGAAGGAUGAAGGCGUUCUGCGUUGUAAACUUCUUUUACCAGGGAAGAAAUCACUUUAUUCUUAGAGUGUUGACGGUACCUGGGGAAUAAG
This 425-nucleotide ribosomal RNA is filed under the name grassland soil clone sl3_619. RNAcentral describes it as "bacterial SSU rRNA". It matches the Rfam family "Bacterial small subunit ribosomal RNA", at positions 50 to 490 of the family's 1533-position model. The record is from RNAcentral.